Molecule: ribosomal RNA, 253 nt
Filed under: uncultured bacterium
Lineage: Bacteria
Description: partial 16S ribosomal RNA
Rfam family: Bacterial small subunit ribosomal RNA
Source: RNAcentral
UACGUAGGUGGCAAGCGUUGUCCGGAAUUAUUGGGCGUAAAGCGCGCGCAGGCGGUCCUUUAAGUCUGAUGUGAAAUCCCGUGGCUUAACCACGGGCGGUCAUUGGAAACUGGGGGACUUGAGUGCAGAAGAGAAGAGCGGAAUUCCACGUGUAGCGGUGAAAUGCGUAGAUAUCGGGAAGAACACCAGUGGCGAAAGCGCUCUGCUGGACCAUAACUGACACUGAGGGACGAAAGCUAGGGGAGCGAAAGGG